CAGCAGCCGCGGUAAUACGUAGGUGGCAAGCGUUGUCCGGAAUUAUUGGGCGUAAAGGGCUCGCAGGCGGUUUCUUAAGUCUGAUGUGAAAGCCCCCGGCUCAACCGGGGAGGGUCAUUGGAAACUGGGAAACUUGAGUGCAGAAGAGGAGAGUGGAAUUCCACGUGUAGCGGUGAAGUGCGUAGAGAUGUGGAGGAACACCAGUGGCGAAGGCGACUCUCUGGUCUGUAACUGACGCUGAGGAGCGAAAGCGUGGGGAGCGAACAGGAUUAGAUACCCCAGUAGUCCCUGUCUCUUAUAC
Molecule: ribosomal RNA, 301 nt
Filed under: uncultured bacterium
Lineage: Bacteria
Description: partial 16S ribosomal RNA
Rfam family: Bacterial small subunit ribosomal RNA
Source: RNAcentral